GGCUUCGUAGCUCAGCUGGUAGAGCAUGCGCUGUAAAAAGGCGUAAGUGGCGUCUAUGUGUGGGUUCGAAUCCCACCGAGACUA
RNAcentral lists this transfer RNA (84 nucleotides) under Echinostoma caproni. It matches the Rfam family "tRNA". Rfam says of the family: Transfer RNA (tRNA) molecules are approximately 80 nucleotides in length. Their secondary structure includes four short double-helical elements and three loops (D, anti-codon, and T loops). Further hydrogen bonds mediate the characteristic L-shaped molecular structure. tRNAs have two regions of fundamental functional importance: the anti-codon, which is responsible for specific mRNA codon recognition, and the 3' end, to which the tRNAs corresponding amino acid is attached (by aminoacyl-tRNA synthetases). tRNAs cope with the degeneracy of the genetic code in two manners: having more than one tRNA (with a specific anti-codon) for a particular amino acid; and 'wobble' base-pairing, i.e. permitting non-standard base-pairing at the 3rd anti-codon position. Lineage: Eukaryota; Metazoa; Platyhelminthes; Trematoda; Plagiorchiida; Echinostomatidae. The record is from Rfam by way of RNAcentral.